Non-coding RNA from Rattus norvegicus (Norway rat), 2797 nucleotides. NCBI's taxonomy places the organism in Eukaryota, Metazoa, Chordata, Mammalia, Rodentia, Muridae. The record is from RefSeq and is a predicted model, not a curated record.
UUGGGUUGAGAUGAUGUGCCUCACCAAGAAAAUGAAUAUUAAAAGUAGAAAACUGUUGGUUGUCCCGCGCGAGACUUCCCGCCGGCAGGAAACCCGCGGGUACAUAGAAAUCCUUACUGUGACCAACUUUAUUAAUCUUAGAAGAGGAAGGGCCCGCCGCGCCAACAUGGCGCGCUUAUAAACACUCUAGUGCGGCGCAUCCACACCUGAUUGGUUGUUUACCCAUGAUCUCAUAAGGCACGCCCCGGAGUGGGCAAAGACCUGGCACGAAGGCACUCUUGCACAUGCGCACAGUUAACUUCCUGAAAGGGAGCCGGCUGGCGGGGCGAAGGCUGGUGCCAUCUUUUAAUGGCAGAGGCUAUCCUGGCCUUCUACGUGGGGUGCAGUGGAAGCCAGCGCCAUCUAGUGGUGGCGAAUGUUGUUGCGGCCCUCUACAGUUGGUUGGGAAAUCACUAAAAAAAAUUGUUAAUUUUGUUCUUAAAUUGUACAUGACUGACAUAAUGUGCAUGGAUUAACCCUUUAACGUCAAUGUAAGUUCCAACAGGUAUACAUAUGACAAGCACAGUAAUUUCCCAUCAAAUUCAAACCAGCUUCUAAAUAGAAGGACACUCAAGACCACACAAUGUGAACUUUGAAGAAGCACAAGGGAGAAGUAACUCAUGAGCAAAUAUCAAGACAAAGCUGAAGGAAUGAUGGAGCCCAACUACAAACCAAGUACAGUCUGCAGACUAUUUGCAAGGUGGACAAUUUCUGCUCAGAAAUACAAAAACAUGUCCUGAGCGAAGUGGUGGAGAUAGAAGGGAAGUUAACCUGAGAACUGGUUGGGAAUAAAAGUAAAUCAGUUUUGAAACAAAGUCUCCAGGAUUAGCUGUUAACAACUUAGGAUAUAGGAGCUUGCCAGUAAACCCAGAGAUUUACAUCUCAGUAGGAUUACAGGUAUGCAACAUCACAGGUGCGUAAAGUUUUUAAAUAUCUUUUAUUCUUUUUGGAAUCAAACUCAAUGUCCUCCUGCUUCCAUGUACCUUAUUGAUUAAGCCAUGAUUCAAUGAUUGUAGAACGAUUACGAUGAUUUCAUUAUAUCUCCUAGGAAUGUUGGGUUUUAGACUCUGUUUAGUCACUAUACGUUAUCCUUCAUGGAGAACGCUAUGGAUAUUUAUGUAUUUUAGUACUUCAAAGUCCAGGGAUUAAAGACGUAGAUCAGAAAGAAUAUUGACAAGGAAGAGACCAAUAGUGUGUUUUUUUGCAGCAAAGUGACAAUGUUCUUGAAUCAAGCUGAAGACAAAAACAAACAAGCAAACAAUGGAAAAAAACCUGACUUUUAUACUUUCUAAGUCCCUACAUCCUCAUGUGAUUGAAAGAGAUCUCAGUAAGCACUUCAAACAGUGCCAGUGUGUCCCAUCAUGAUACCCACAUGACAUCCCAGCUCUUUACACCCUGAAGAAGUAAGAUCAUGACUCUGAGGCCAGCUUAAGCUACAAUUUGAAGUGACAAUCUGUCUCAGAAAAAAAAUGUAAAUCAACGUAUAGAUAAAUGCAUAAAUAAGUAUAGAUAGUUACAUACAUAAUGCAUCAUACAUACAUACAUAUAUACAUACAUAAUUAACACACAUUGGUACAAAGCAAGUGGUGACUAAGCAGUAGACAUUUAGACUGUUCCUGUUAUUUUAUUGAUUGAUUGAUUGAUUGAUUCAUAUCUAAUACCUAACCUGCCCAGACAAUGAGUUCACUGCAGGCCUCUCUCAUCCUGGUCACUUCCUUAAUCCUGCCACCUACCCACCUUUCCUCUGACACUUCCUAGCAACAUGUUCUCAGAGUCAUUGUAUUUUUGCACUGUCUCCCUGACUUCUAUUCUAAAAAUAGUACCUGACCACCUAUUCAGAAUGUCCCACCUAUAAUGCCAGCCUUCCUUUAUGCAAUAGUUAGCUCGUUAUCAAAUGGAGCAAUGACUACUUUCCUAUACCCAAGUAAAAGCCUGUCACAGUUUCAGCAGCUGCUGUGCAAGGGACCUUGUGUUGUCUUUACAAUUCCAUUCCUAUGAAUUUUGUCAUUUUCAAAUGUCCAAUUUUUCUUCUCUCCUUCUUUUCAUGUCAGCCUAGAUUCCCAUGACAGACAGACUAUGAGGCAUUCGGACCUAUGACUAGUCCUCCAGGAACACUGGCCCUGAGCCACAGGACCAUCUGGAAAGAGCUCAGUCUGGUCCCAUUUGCUCUUACCCAGCCUUGCUUACACCUUACCCCCAGUGGAUUGUGUUGAAGGCCUGGAAGAAUCCUGGCAAGGUCACAGUGUUUCAUUCUGCUGUCGGUUUAAAUUAGGUCUGAGCUUUUAUGUCUAAAUCAAAAUACCAAAAAUAAAAUGGAAAGAGAGGGAGGGAGACAUCAGAGAGACAAGGUAACAUCCUACACCAAGUGGAGAAAUGACAUUUCAAUUGGCCAGUUGAUCUGUUCCCUUGACAGAUGUCCCUCACUCACUCCAAACCAGUAUUUUACAUGUAUAACCCCGUGACAUACUCCAACUCAUCCAAGAUUGUAAUACAUACCUUUUCUGAAAAAAUAGGGGAAGAAAAUUUUGCAAAAACAGCAGAAACACACCACAAAGUAAUACAUUUUAAAAUAGUACUAUGUUGAAUAUAACAACUUAAGGUGAGAUCAACUAUCCGUCACUAUUAUCACAUCUCCUUUAUGCUGAGAUUCUCUCCCAGCGGAAUUAAUAUUACACUAGAUAUCGGUCUUUUUCAGAACAUAUUUCAGUCUAGCAAGUGUUUAGCCCUAGUUAGUAGGCUCCCACUUCUAUCGCUUAUC